GCUAUUUUAGUUUAUAUAAAAUGUCUAAUUUGUAAUUAGAAGAAUUUUUAGCAACU
RNAcentral lists this transfer RNA (56 nucleotides) under Strongyloides stercoralis. Its description in RNAcentral is "transfer RNA-Thr". The record is from RNAcentral. Lineage: Eukaryota; Metazoa; Nematoda; Chromadorea; Rhabditida; Strongyloididae.